This 478-nucleotide ribosomal RNA is filed under the name uncultured bacterium. RNAcentral describes it as "partial 16S ribosomal RNA". It matches the Rfam family "Bacterial small subunit ribosomal RNA", at positions 29 to 507 of the family's 1533-position model. The record is from RNAcentral.
CACGAACGCUGGUGGCGUGCUUAACACAUGCAAGUCGAACGGGAUUUAGUAAACAGAAGCCUCGGUGGAAGAUUACUAAUGAGAGUGGCGAACGGGUGAGUAACGCGUGAGCAACCUGCCUAUGACAGUGGGAUAGCCUCGGGAAACCGGGAUUAAUACCGCAUAAAAUCGUAGAAACACAUGUUUUAACGGUCAAAGAUUUAUCGGUCAUAGAUGGGCUCGCGUCUGAUUAGCUAGUUGGUGAGAUAACAGCCCACCAAGGCGACGAUCAGUAGCCGGUCUGAGAGGAUGAACGGCCACAUUGGAACUGAGACACGGUCCAAACUCCUACGGGAGGCAGCAGUGGGGAAUAUUGCACAAUGGGGGAAACCCUGAUGCAGCGACGCCGCGUGAACGAAGAAGGUAUUCGUAUCGUAAAGUUCUGUCCUAUGGGAAGAUAAUGACAGUACCAUAGAAGAAAGCUCCGGCUAAAUACGUG